This 389-nucleotide ribosomal RNA is filed under the name uncultured bacterium. Its description in RNAcentral is "bacterial SSU rRNA". It matches the Rfam family "Bacterial small subunit ribosomal RNA", at positions 553 to 940 of the family's 1533-position model. The record is from RNAcentral.
AUUGGGUUUAAAGGGUCCGUAGGCGGUUUAAUAAGUCAGUGGUGAAAGCCCAUCGCUCAACGGUGGAACGGCCAUUGAUACUGUUAAACUUGAAUUAUUAGGAAGUAACUAGAAUAUGUAGUGUAGCGGUGAAAUGCUUAGAGAUUACAUGGAAUACCAAUUGCGAAGGCAGGUUACUACUAAUGGAUUGACGCUGAUGGACGAAAGCGUGGGUAGCGAACAGGAUUAGAUACCCUGGUAGUCCACGCUGUAAACGAUGUCAACUAGCUGUUGGUCAUAUGAAUGUGAUUAGUGGCGCAGCAAACGCGAUAAGUUGACCGCCUGGGGAGUACGGUCGCAAGAUUAAAACUCAAAGGAAUUGACGGGGGCCCGCACAAGCGGUAAUCGAA